GAUGAACGCUGGCGGCGUGCCUAAUACAUGCAAGUCGAGCGAACAGACGAGGAUCUUGCUCCUCUGACGUUAGCGGCGGACGGGUGAGUAACACGUGGAUAACCUACCUAUAAGACUUGGAUAACUUCGGGAAACCGUCGCUACUACCGGAUAAUAUAUUGAACCGCAUGGUUCAAUAGUGAAAGUCGGUUUUGCUGUCCCUUAUAGAUUGUUCCGCGCCGCAUUAGCUAGUUGGUAAGGUAACGGCUUACCAAGGCAACGAUGCGUAGCCGACCUGAGAGGGUGAUCGGCCACACUGGAACUGAGACACGGUCCAGACUCCUACGGGAGGCAGCAGUAGGGAAUCUUCCGCAAUGGGCGAAAGCAUGACGGAGCAACGCCGCGGGAGUGAUGAAGGUCUUCGGAUCGUAAAACUCUGUUAUGAGGGAAGAACAAAUGUGUAAGUAAAUAUGCACGUAGUGACGGUACCGAAUAAGAAAGCCACGGCUAACUACGUG
RNAcentral lists this ribosomal RNA (497 nucleotides) under uncultured bacterium. Its description in RNAcentral is "partial 16S ribosomal RNA". It matches the Rfam family "Bacterial small subunit ribosomal RNA", at positions 28 to 507 of the family's 1533-position model. The record is from RNAcentral.